This 442-nucleotide ribosomal RNA is filed under the name uncultured bacterium. Its description in RNAcentral is "bacterial SSU rRNA". It matches the Rfam family "Bacterial small subunit ribosomal RNA", at positions 958 to 1398 of the family's 1533-position model. The record is from RNAcentral.
AACGCGAAGAACCUUACCUGGGCUCGAAAUGUAGUGGAAUAGGGUGGAAACAUCCUAGUCUCGCAAGAGACUGCUAUAUAGGUGCUGCAUGGCUGUCGUCAGCUCGUGUCGUGAGAUGUUGGGUUAAGUCCCGCAACGAGCGCAACCCUUAUCCCUAGUUGCCAUCGGGUCAAGCCGGGCACUCUAGUGAAACCGCCCGGGAUAACCGGGAGGAAGGUGGGGAUGACGUCAAGUCCUCAUGGCCUUUAUGUCCAGGGCUACACACGUGCUACAAUGGUCGGUACAAACCGUCGCAAACCCGCGAGGGGGAGCUAAUCGGAAAAAGCCGGCCUCAGUUCGGAUUGGAGUCUGCAACCCGACUCCAUGAAGCUGGAAUCGCUAGUAAUCGCGGAUCAGAACGCCGCGGUGAAUACGUUCCCGGGCCUUGUACACACCGAUACUC